This 486-nucleotide ribosomal RNA is filed under the name uncultured bacterium. RNAcentral describes it as "partial 16S ribosomal RNA". It matches the Rfam family "Bacterial small subunit ribosomal RNA", at positions 30 to 507 of the family's 1533-position model. The record is from RNAcentral.
AUUGAACGCUGGCGGCAUGCCUUACACAUGCAAGUCGAACGGCAGCACGGGUGCUUGCACCUGGUGGCGAGUGGCGAACGGGUGAGUAAUACAUCGGAACAUGUCCUGUAGUGGGGGAUAGCCCGGCGAAAGCCGGAUUAAUACCGCAUACGAUCUACGGAUGAAAGCGGGGGACCUUCGGGCCUCGCGCUAUAGGGUUGGCCGAUGGCUGAUUAGCUAGUUGGUGGGGUAAAGGCCUACCAAGGCGACGAUCAGUAGCUGGUCUGAGAGGACGACCAGCCACACUGGGACUGGGACACGGCCCAGACUCCUACGGGAGGCAGCAGUGGGGAAUGUUGGACAAUGGGCGAAAGCCUGAUCCAGCAAUGCCGCGUGUGUGAAGAAGGCCUUCGGGUUGUAAAGCACUUUUGUCCGGAAAGAAAUCCUUGGCCCUAAUACGGUCGGGGGAUGACGGUACCGGAAGAAUAAGCACCGGCUAACUACGUG